UGGGGAAUUUUGGACAAUGGGCGAAAGCCUGAUCCAGCAAUGCCGCGUGUGUGAAGAAGGCCUUCGGGUUGUAAAGCACUUUUGUCCGGAAGGAAAUCCUUGGCUCUAAUACAGUCGGGGGAUGACGGUACCGGAAGAAUAAGCACCGGCUAACUACGUGCCAGCAGCCGUGGUAAUACGUAGGGUGCAAGCGUUAAUCGGAAUUACUGGGCGUAAAGCGUGCGCAGGCGGUUUGCUAAGACCGAUGUGAAAUCCCCGGGCUCAACCUGGGAACUGCAUUGGUGACUGGCAGGCUAGAGUAUGGCAGAGGGGGGUAGAAUUCCACGUGUAGCAGUGAAAUGCGUAGAGAUGUGGAGGAAUACCGAUGGCGAAGGCAGCCCCCUGGGCCAAUACUGACGCUCAUGCACGAAAGCGUGGGGAGCAAACAGGAUUAGAUACCCUGGUAGUCCACGCCCUAAACGAUGUCAACUAGUUGUUGGGGAUUCAUUUCCUUAGUAACGUAGCUAACGCGUGAAGUUGACCGCCUGGGGAGUACGGUCGCAAGAUU
This 547-nucleotide ribosomal RNA is filed under the name uncultured bacterium. RNAcentral's name for it is "partial 16S ribosomal RNA". It matches the Rfam family "Bacterial small subunit ribosomal RNA", at positions 355 to 895 of the family's 1533-position model. The record is from RNAcentral.